Molecule: unclassified non-coding RNA, 243 nt
Filed under: Hevea brasiliensis (rubber tree)
Lineage: Eukaryota; Viridiplantae; Streptophyta; Magnoliopsida; Malpighiales; Euphorbiaceae
Source: RNAcentral
ACUUUGAUGAUUUUAAUAGGAAGAUUCAGGAAGUAACUUGGUUCAUACAACCUUUAAAUCAAAGAUUAAUGGACAGAAAAAAUACCUAAAAAGUGAAUUAAGUAAUAAUGCAGAAAGAGAAGAGCACAAAGUCGGGGAAGAACUUAUUUAACAUAACACAAUUCUAGUAUCAAGUUUUCUGAUUUUAAAGCCACUACAAUGCUUACAAUAUAUUUGGCUUUUGUAGUAUUAUGUGAACUCUGG